GCUUAACACAUGCAAGUCGAGGGGUAACAUUGUGCUUGCACAGAUGACGACCGGCGCACGGGUGCGUAACGCGUAUAGAACCUACCUUUUACAGAGGAAUAGCCUUUAGAAAUGAAGAUUAAUGCCUCAUAGUAUUGUAGACUGGCAUCAGUUUAUAAUUAAAGAUUUAUCGGUAAAAGAUGGCUAUGCGUCCUAUUAGUUAGUUGGUAAGGUAACGGCUUACCAAGACAGCGAUAGGUAGGGGUCCUGAGAGGGAGAUCCCCCACACUGGUACUGAGACACGGACCAGACUCCUACGGGAGGCAGCAGUGAGGAAUAUUGGACAAUGGAGGAGACUCUGAUCCAGCCAUGCCGCGUGUAGGAAGAAUGCCCUAUGGGUUGUAAACUACUUUUAUACAGGAAGAAACACUGGUAUGUAUACCAGCUUGACGGUAC
Molecule: ribosomal RNA, 435 nt
Filed under: uncultured Polaribacter sp.
Lineage: Bacteria; Pseudomonadati; Bacteroidota; Flavobacteriia; Flavobacteriales; Flavobacteriaceae
Description: bacterial SSU rRNA
Rfam family: Bacterial small subunit ribosomal RNA
Source: RNAcentral